Rhinopithecus roxellana (golden snub-nosed monkey) is the source of this 1801-nucleotide RNA transcript. It is a transcript of the gene named vacuolar fusion protein CCZ1 homolog B-like, with no coding region annotated. The record is from RefSeq and is a predicted model, not a curated record. NCBI's taxonomy places the organism in Eukaryota, Metazoa, Chordata, Mammalia, Primates, Cercopithecidae. The transcript has 15 exons.
GGGAGGCGGAAGUGUGGUGUCCUGGCAAGUGGCUGUUGUCUGUGGGCUGACCGUGGGAGGCUCCCGAGGUGGGGGCCGGGUCGUCAUGGCUGCAGCGGCGGCCGGGGCCGGGAGCGGGCCCUGGGCUGCCCAGGAGAAGCAGUUCCCGCCCGCGCCGCUGAGUUUCUUCAUCUACAACCCGCGCUUCGGGCCACGCGAAGGAGAGGAGGAAAAUAAGAUUUUAUUUUAUCAUCCAAAUGAGGUAGAAAAGAAUGAAAAGAUUAGAAAUGUCGGAUUGUGUGAAGCUAUUGUACAGUUCACAAGGACCUUUAGCCCAUCAAAACCUGCAAAAUCUUUACAUACCCAGAAGAAUAGACAGUUCUUCAAUGAACCAGAAGAACAUUUCUGGAUGGUCAUGGUUGUUCGGAAUCCUAUAAUUGAAAAACAGAGUAAAGAUGGAAAACCAGUUAUUGAAUAUCAAGAGGAGGAGUUGUUGGACAAGGUUUAUAGUUCAGUGCUACAGCAGUGCUACAGCAUGUACAAGCUUUUUAAUGGAACAUUUCUGAAAGCCAUGGAAGACGGAGGCGUCGAGCUUCUGAAAGAAAGAUUAGAGAAAUUCUUCCAUCGGUAUUUGCAAACUCUACAUUUGCAGUCAUGUGCCCUACUUGACAUUUUUGGUGGAAUCAGCUUCUUCCCAUUGGAUAAAAUGACUUAUUUGAAAAUCCAGUCCUUUAUUAAUAGAAUGGAGGAAAGCCUGAAUAUAGUCAAAUACACUGCAUUUCUCUAUAACGAUCAGCUCAUCUGGAGUGGAUUAGAACAAGACGACAUGAGAAUUUUGUACAAAUACCUUACCACCUCCCUUUUUCCAAGGCACAUCGAGCCCGAGUUAGCAGGAAGGGGUUCUCCAGUAGCAGAAAUGCCAGGAAAUCUUCAGCACUAUGGAAGAUUUCUUACCGGACCCUUGAACCUUAAUGAUCCAGAUGCAAAAUGCAGAUUCCCCAAAAUUUUUGUAAAGACAGAUGACGCUUAUGAAGAGCUCCAUUUAAUUGUUUAUAAGGCCAUGAGUGCGGCUGUGUGCUUUAUGAUCGACGCCUCUAUCCAGCCAACACUGGAUUUUUGCCGAAGACUGGACAGCGUCGUUGGGCCCCAGCUCACGGUGCUGGCCUCUGACAUCUGCGAGCAGUUUAACAUCAACAAGAGAAUGUCUGGGUCUGAGAAAGAAUCCCAGUUUAAGUUUAUUUACUUCAACCACAUGAAUCUGGCCGAGAAGAGCACAGUUCACAUGAGGAAAAUGCCCAGUGUGUCACUCACUUCCGUGCACCCGGAUUUAAUGAAGAUUCUCGGUGACAUCAACAGUGACUUCACCAGAGUGGAUGAGGAUGAGGAGAUCAUCGUGAAGGCCAUGAUUACUGGGUUGUUGGAAAGAAGUCGGAUCGGCGGGAGCUCUACGUUAUUUUGAAUCAAAAAAAUGCAAACCUGAUUGAAGUAAAUGAAGAGGUCAAGAAACUUUGUGCAACGCAGUUCAACAACAUCUUCUUCUUGGAUUGACUGAUGACUCACCGAAAGCGUAUUUGAAAAACACCCGGCAAACAUUUGGUCAUAUGCAAGUUACUGGUCAUAUGACGGACCGCAUUCAGGACAAGGGAAAAGCAAUACUUGCUUUGAAGAAUCACAUUUCUACUCGGUCUCCUGAUCUCCUGAAGUUUUUAGAUUUUAAAUAUUUAUGUGGAAUCAAAGGUAGUUGACUAUAUCUCUAUCAUUCCAUUCUUUUGACAUUAUGUGAAUAUUUUACUGGAAAAUAAGAUUAAUAAAUUGUUUUUUU